This 492-nucleotide ribosomal RNA is filed under the name uncultured bacterium. RNAcentral describes it as "partial 16S ribosomal RNA". It matches the Rfam family "Bacterial small subunit ribosomal RNA", at positions 27 to 506 of the family's 1533-position model. The record is from RNAcentral.
GAGUGAACGCUGGCGGUAGGCCUACCACAUGCAAGUCGAACGGCAGCACAGUAAGAGCUUGCUCUUACGGGUGGCGAGUGGCGGACGGGUGAGGAAUACAUCGGAAUCUACUUUUUCGUGGGGGAUAACGUAGGGAAACUUACGCUAAUACCGCAUACGACCUACGGGUGAAAGCAGGGGAUCUUCGGACCUUGCGCGAUUGAAUGAGCCGAUGUCGGAUUAGCUAGUUGGCGGGGUAAAGGCCCACCAAGGCGACGAUCCGUAGCUGGUCUGAGAGGAUGAUCAGCCACACUGGAACUGAGACACGGUCCAGACUCCUACGGGAGGCAGCAGUGGGGAAUAUUGGACAAUGGGCGCAAGCCUGAUCCAGCCAUACCGCGUGGGUGAAGAAGGCCUGCGGGUUGUAAAGCCCUUUUGUUGGGAAAGAAAAGCAGCAGGUUAAUACCCCGCUGUUCUGACGGUACCCAAAGAAUAAGCACCGGCUAACUUCGU